This 749-nucleotide ribosomal RNA is filed under the name Actinomadura sp. Its description in RNAcentral is "bacterial SSU rRNA". It matches the Rfam family "Bacterial small subunit ribosomal RNA", at positions 49 to 813 of the family's 1533-position model. Lineage: Bacteria; Bacillati; Actinomycetota; Actinomycetes; Streptosporangiales; Thermomonosporaceae. The record is from RNAcentral.
UAACACAUGCAAGUCGAGCGGAAAGGCCCCUUCGGGGGUACUCGAGCGGCGAACGGGUGAGUAACACGUGAGCAACCUGCCCCUGACUCUGGGAUAAGCCCGGGAAACUGGGUCUAAUACCGGAUAUAACCACUGGUCUCAUGAUCGGGUGGUGGAAAGUUUUUCGGUUGGGGAUGGGCUCGCGGCCUAUCAGCUUGUUGGUGGGGUGAUGGCCUACCAAGGCGACGACGGGUAACCGGCCUGAGAGGGCGACCGGUCACACUGGGACUGAGACACGGCCCAGACUCCUACGGGAGGCAGCAGUGGGGAAUAUUGCGCAAUGGGCGGAAGCCUGACGCAGCGACGCCGCGUGAGGGAUGACGGCCUUCGGGUUGUAAACCUCUUUCAGCAGGGACGAAGCUAACGUGACGGUACCUGCAGAAGAAGCGCCGGCUAACUACGUGCCAGCAGCCGCGGUAAUACGUAGGGCGCAAGCGUUGUCCGGAAUUAUUGGGCGUAAAGAGCUCGUAGGCGGUUUGUCGCGUCUGUCGUGAAAGCCCACGGCUUAACCGUGGGUCUGCGGUGGAUACGGGCAGACUAGAGGCAGGUAGGGGAGAAUGGAAUUCCCGGUGUAGCGGUGAAAUGCGCAGAUAUCGGGAGGAACACCGGUGGCGAAGGCGGUUCUCUGGGCCUGUACUGACGCUGAGGAGCGAAAGCGUGGGGAGCGAACAGGAUUAGAUACCCUGGUAGUCCACGCCGUAAACGUUGGG